RNAcentral lists this ribosomal RNA (253 nucleotides) under uncultured prokaryote. Its description in RNAcentral is "partial 16S ribosomal RNA". It matches the Rfam family "Bacterial small subunit ribosomal RNA", at positions 524 to 776 of the family's 1533-position model. The record is from RNAcentral.
UACGGAGGAUGCAAGCGUUAUCCGGAAUAAUUGGGCGUAAAGCGUCCGUAGGUGGUCAUUCAAGUCUGCCGUUAAAGAGUGGGGCUUAACCCCACAAAGGCGGUGGAAACUGAAAGACUAGAGUGCAGUAGGGGUAGAGGGAAUUCCCGGUGUAGCGGUGAAAUGCGUAGAGAUCGGGAAGAACACCGGUGGCGAAAGCGCUCUGCUGGACUGCAACUGACACUGAGGGACGAAAGCUAGGGGAGCGAAUGGG